Molecule: ribosomal RNA, 684 nt
Filed under: uncultured soil bacterium
Lineage: Bacteria
Description: bacterial SSU rRNA
Rfam family: Bacterial small subunit ribosomal RNA
Source: RNAcentral
GAACGCUGGCGGCAGGCUUAACACAUGCAAGUCGAACGGGCGUAGCAAUACGUCAGUGGCAGACGGGUGAGUAACACGUGGGAACCUUCCUAGGGGUACGGAACAACUCAGGGAAACUUGAGCUAAUACCGUAUACGUCCGUAAGGAGAAAGAUUCAUCGCCCUUAGACGGGCCCGCGUCGGAUUAGGUAGUUGGUGGGGUAACGGCCUACCAAGGCGACGAUCCGUAGCUGAUCUGAGAGGAUGAUCAGCCACACUGGGACUGAGAUACGGCCCAGACUCCUACGGGAGGCAGCAGUGGGGAAUCUUGGACAAUGGGCGCAAGCCUGAUCCAGCCAUGCCGCGUGAGUGAAGAAGGCCUUAGGGUUGUAAAGCUCUUUUACCAGGGACGAUAAUGACGGUACCUGGAGAAUAAGCCCCGGCAAACUUCGUGCCAGCAGCCGCGGUAAUACGAAGGGGGCUAGCGUUGUUCGGAAUUACUGGGCGUAAAGCGCACGUAGGCGGGUCGUUAAGUCAGGGGUGAAAUCCCGGAGCUCAACUCCGGAACUGCCUUUGAUACUGGCGAUCUAGAGGUCGAGAGAGGUGAGUGGAAUUCCGAGUGUAGAGGUGAAAUUCGUAGAUAUUCGGAAGAACACCAGUGGCGAAGGCGGCUCCACUGGCUCGAUACUGACGCUGAGGUGCGAAA